RNAcentral lists this unclassified non-coding RNA (359 nucleotides) under soil metagenome. Its description in RNAcentral is "partial contains 5.8S ribosomal RNA, internal transcribed spacer 2, and large subunit ribosomal RNA". The stretch from base 1 to 120 matches the Rfam family "5.8S ribosomal RNA", at positions 35 to 154 of the family's 154-position model. The record is from RNAcentral.
GAUGAAGAACGCAGCGAAAUGCGAUAAGUAAUGUGAAUUGCAGAAUUCAGUGAAUCAUCGAAUCUUUGAACGCACAUUGCGCCCGCCAGUAUUCUGGCGGGCAUGCCUGUUCGAGCGUCAUUUCAACCAUCAAGCCCCCGGGCCUGUGUUGGGGACCUGCGGCUGCCCGCAGGCCCCGAAAACCAGUGGCGGGCUCGCUGUCACCCCGAGCGUAGUAGCAACACCUCGCCCAGGGAGUGCCGCGGGCACCGGCCGUAAAACCUCCUCUCGCCCCCCCCCGCGGGAGGGAACACCCCAAAGGUUGACCUCGGAUCAGGUAGGAAGACCCGCUGAACUUAAGCAUAUCAAUAAGCGGAGGA